CCCAGGUCAGGCGGGGCUACCCGCUGAAUUUAAGCAUAUCAUAA
Molecule: ribosomal RNA, 44 nt
Filed under: Saponaria officinalis (common soapwort)
Lineage: Eukaryota; Viridiplantae; Streptophyta; Magnoliopsida; Caryophyllales; Caryophyllaceae
Also listed under: 5 other names
Description: partial 28S ribosomal RNA
Source: RNAcentral